RNAcentral lists this ribosomal RNA (489 nucleotides) under uncultured methanogenic archaeon. RNAcentral describes it as "bacterial SSU rRNA". It matches the Rfam family "Archaeal small subunit ribosomal RNA", at positions 501 to 990 of the family's 1478-position model. Lineage: Archaea; Methanobacteriati; Methanobacteriota. The record is from RNAcentral.
UUAUUGGGUCUAAGGGUCCGUAGCCGGUUUGAUCAGUCUUCCGGGAAAUCUGACAGCUCAACUGUUAGGCUUCUGGGGGAUACUGUCAGACUUGGAACCGGGAGAGGUAAGAGGUACUACAGGGGUAGGAGUGAAAUCUUGUAAUCCUUGUGGGACCACCAGUGGCGAAGGCGUCUUACCAGAACGGGUUCGACGGUGAGGGACGAAAGCUGGGGGCACGAACCGGAUUAGAUACCCGGGUAGUCCCAGCCGUAAACGAUGCUCGCUAGGUGUCUGGGAUGGUGCGACCGUUUCAGGUGCCGCAGGGAAGCCGUGAAGCGAGCCACCUGGGAAGUACGGCCGCAAGGCUGAAACUUAAAGGAAUUGGCGGGGGAGCACUACAACGGGUGGAGCCUGCGGUUUAAUUGGACUCAACGCCGGAAAACUCACCUGGGGCGACAGCAAUAUGUAGGUCAGGCUGAAGGUCUUACCUGAAUCGCUGAGAGGAGG